RNAcentral lists this ribosomal RNA (425 nucleotides) under uncultured bacterium. RNAcentral describes it as "partial 16S ribosomal RNA". It matches the Rfam family "Bacterial small subunit ribosomal RNA", at positions 354 to 796 of the family's 1533-position model. The record is from RNAcentral.
GUGGGGAAUUUUGGACAAUGGGCGCAAGCCUGAUCCAGCCAUGCCGCGUGAGUGAUGAAGGCCCUAGGGUUGUAAAGCUCUUUCACCGGAGAAGAUAAUGACGGUAUCCGGAGAAGAAGCCCCGGCUAACUUCGUGCCAGCAGCCGCGGUAAUACGAAGGGGGCUAGCGUUGUUCGGAAUUACUGGGCGUAAAGCGCACGUAGGCGGAUAUUUAAGUCAGGGGUGAAAUCCCGGAGCUCAACUCCGGAACUGCCUUUGAUACUGGGUAUCUCGAGUAUGGAAGAGGUGAGUGGAAUUCCGAGUGUAGAGGUGAAAUUCGUAGAUAUUCGGAGGAACACCAGUGGCGAAGGCGGCUCACUGGUCCAUUACUGACGCUGAGGUGCGAAAGCGUGGGGAGCAAACAGGAUUAGAAACCCGGGUAGUCC